GAUGAAUAACGUAGCGAAAUGCGAUAAGUAGUGUGAAUUGCAGAAUUCAGUGAAUCAUCGAAUCUUUGAACGCACAUUGCGCCCCUUGGUAUUCCAUGGGGCAUGCCUGUUCGAGCGUCAUUUGUACCCUCAAGCUCUGCUUGGUGUUGGGUGCCUGUCCCGCCCCCGCGCGUGGACUCACCUCAAAUCCAUUGGCGGCCCUCACGUCGGCUUCGAGCGCAGCAGAAACGCGAACUCGUGGCCCGGCGGAGCGGCUCCCAGAAGCUACUUUCACCAUUUUGACCUCGGAUCAGGUAGGGAUACCCGCUGAACUUAAGCAUAUCAAUAAGCGGAGGA
RNAcentral lists this unclassified non-coding RNA (336 nucleotides) under soil metagenome. RNAcentral's name for it is "partial contains 5.8S ribosomal RNA, internal transcribed spacer 2, and large subunit ribosomal RNA". The stretch from base 1 to 120 matches the Rfam family "5.8S ribosomal RNA", at positions 35 to 154 of the family's 154-position model. The record is from RNAcentral.